Molecule: long non-coding RNA, 791 nt
Filed under: Heterocephalus glaber (naked mole-rat)
Lineage: Eukaryota; Metazoa; Chordata; Mammalia; Rodentia; Bathyergidae
Description: lncRNA (ENSHGLG00000045087.1)
Source: RNAcentral
CGUCUUCGUCCUGGCGAGCGGGCGAUCGCGGCCAGUGCUACUUGGCGGUACGGAGUGGCCGGUGGGCGAGCGUGCGCACGAGGCCCUGCUUUUCACGUCCCUCGUGCCGCUAUAACCUUGGAAGAGCCCCUUUUUUCCUCGACUCUGUUGUGUCCCCUCACGAACUCUGGUCCCACUCACCUAACCGCCCCGCUUUUGCCCCACUGCAUGCUGCGCUCUCUCCGCUUCCCCGGCGGACAGCGGGGACCAGUCGGCGCCCCUGCAUCCCGGCCCCGGUAGGUUCCAGAGUAAGAAAGCCCGGGCCAGGCUAUCGCCCAUUCUGCCUGCGGCCUGCUGUAUUAUCACCACCCCGCCAAAAAGAAAGGGAAGUAGGUUGGUUUGCUUGGGAGGAUUCGCUUUUAGAUGUGAUUCAGCUGUUAUUUUCCUUAGUCACACACCACGCAUCAGAGACUCUAGAAGUCUCGAAACUGACUCCCAAAGAAAGACCUGGAACUUUAUCCCUACAAGGAAUAUCGGCGAUUGUGGGUGAUCAUCUCCUGGAAGCAAGAAGUCAUGGAGGAGAACUCUUCUGCAGGAUAGGAGGAGAAAAAGAUGGCAGUAUGCUUUGGUUAUAAGAAACAAGCACUUUUGAGAAAGCUUAAGAAGAUUUGAAAGGAUAAAGAGAUACUUUCAUAAUAUUAAAGGGAUUCCAAUUAUAUUUUAAGAAAUGAAGUUUGCAAGAUCAUGGCUGGUUCACAGCAAAGUGGAGACACAUGAAUCCUUUUCAUGAGUGGUCGAAAUGGCCAUCCUCU